RNAcentral lists this ribosomal RNA (466 nucleotides) under uncultured bacterium. RNAcentral describes it as "partial 16S ribosomal RNA". It matches the Rfam family "Bacterial small subunit ribosomal RNA", at positions 28 to 505 of the family's 1533-position model. The record is from RNAcentral.
GACGAACGCUGGCGGCGUGCUUAACACAUGCAAGUCGAACGGAAAGGCCCUGCUUUUGUGGGGUGCUCGAGUGGCGAACGGGUGAGUAACACGUGAGUAACCUGCCCUUGACUUUGGGAUAACUUCAGGAAACUGGGGCUAAUACCGGAUAGGAGCUCCUGCUGCAUGGUGGGGGUUGGAAAGUUUCGGCGGUUGGGGAUGGACUCGCGGCUUAUCAGCUUGUUGGUGGGGUAGUGGCUUACCAAGGCUUUGACGGGUAGCCGGCCUGAGAGGGUGACCGGCCAGAGGGGAGCAGAGAAAGGCCCGAGGCCCCUGGGGGGGGCAACGGGGGGAAAUAUUGCAAAAGGGGGGGAAGCCUGAUGGAGCAGCCCCGCGGGGGGGAUGGCGGCCUUGGGGUUGAAACCCGCUUUCCCUUGGGACGAAGGGGGGGGGGGGGAAAGGGGUAAAGAAGCCCGGGCAAACUACG